CCGAGUUUACAAACUCCCAAAUCCCCUGUGAACUUAUACCUGUAUACCGUUGCUUCGGCGGGUUCGCCCGCCGAGGGACCGACAAACAAACUCUUGUGUUUCUAUCUUUGGCAUGUCUGAGUGGAAUCAUAAGCAAAUGAAUCA
This 144-nucleotide unclassified non-coding RNA is filed under the name uncultured Metarhizium. Its description in RNAcentral is "sequence contains ITS1". The record is from RNAcentral. Lineage: Eukaryota; Fungi; Ascomycota; Sordariomycetes; Hypocreales; Clavicipitaceae.